Cinara cedri is the source of this 345-nucleotide non-coding RNA. The record is from the annotation of a GenBank genome assembly. Lineage: Eukaryota; Metazoa; Arthropoda; Insecta; Hemiptera; Aphididae.
ACAAAACAUCUCACUACCAGAACAUUUAUAUCGGUUGCAUAUAAGUUAUAGGUUAGUUAUUGUUAGGUUAUAAGUUACGAUAUUCGAAAGACCGCGGAUCGAGUCUUUUAGCCUUUGAAAAUGCGCGCAAAACAAAAAGCACUUGGACCGCUAUAAUAGCGUUUCAGGUUUUAUGUUGUUUUACGAUUUAAUUAUCCGAAUUUUCGUUAUUCGCGUUUGUGCCCAUUGAUAUAUUCGGAGAGAACUGCGCUUUUACCGUAACGCGGUUUAACAUUUAAGAUCACGGUCAAUCGACUACGCCCGCAAUGGCGUCCGAUAAUCGCGAUAAUUGCGUAUAGGGUGCCG